CCUACGGGAGGCAGCAGUGAGGAAUAUUGGUCAAUGGGCGCGAGCCUGAACCAGCCAAGUAGCGUGAAGGAUGACUGCCCUACGGGUUGUAAACUUCUUUUAUAAAGGAAUAAAGUGAGGCACGUGUGCCUUUUUGUAUGUACUUUAUGAAUAAGGAUCGGCUAACUCCGUGCCAGCAGCCGCGGUAAUACGGAGGAUCCGAGCGUUCGCCGGAUUUAUUGGGUUUAAAGGGUGCGUAGGCGGCCUUUUAAGUCAGCGGUGAAAGUCUGUGGCUCAACCAUAGAAUUGCCGUUGAAACUGGGGGGCUUGAGGAUGUUGGAGGCAGGCGGAAUGCGUGGUGUAGCGGUGAAAUGCUUAGAUAUCACGCAGAACCCCGAUUGCGAAGGCAGCCUGCCAAGCCAUGACUGACGCUGAUGCACGAAAGCGUGGGGAUCAAACAGGAUUAGAUACCCUUGUAGUC
Molecule: ribosomal RNA, 460 nt
Filed under: uncultured bacterium
Lineage: Bacteria
Description: partial 16S ribosomal RNA
Rfam family: Bacterial small subunit ribosomal RNA
Source: RNAcentral